Molecule: ribosomal RNA, 441 nt
Filed under: uncultured bacterium
Lineage: Bacteria
Description: partial 16S ribosomal RNA
Rfam family: Bacterial small subunit ribosomal RNA
Source: RNAcentral
CCUACGGGAGGCUGCAGUGGGGAAUAUUGCACAAUGGGGGAAACCCUGAUGCAGCGACGCCGCGUGAGUGAAGAAGUAUUUCGGUAUGUAAAGCUCUAUCAGCAGGGAAGAAAAAAGACGGUACCUGACUAAGAAGCCCCGGCUAACUACGUGCCAGCAGCCGCGGUAAUACGUAGGGGGCAAGCGUUAUCCGGAAUUACUGGGUGGAAAGGGUGCGUAGGUGGAAUGGUAAGUCAGAAGUGAAAGCCCGGGGCUUAACCCCGGGACUGCUUUUGAAACUGUCAUGCUGGAGUGCAGGAGAGGUAAGCGGAAUUCCUAGUGUAGCGGUGAAAUGCGUAGAUAUUAGGAGGAACACCAGUGGCGAAGGCGGCUUACUGGACUGUCACUGACACUGAUGCACGAAAGCGUGGGGAGCAAACAGGAUUAGAUACCCCUGUAGUC